This 75-nucleotide transfer RNA is filed under the name Clostridia bacterium. Its description in RNAcentral is "tRNA-Trp". It matches the Rfam family "tRNA". Rfam says of the family: Transfer RNA (tRNA) molecules are approximately 80 nucleotides in length. Their secondary structure includes four short double-helical elements and three loops (D, anti-codon, and T loops). The record is from RNAcentral. Lineage: Bacteria; Bacillati; Bacillota; Clostridia.
GAGUCGGUGGUGUAAUUGGCAGCACAACGGUCUCCAAAACCGUUAGUCUGUGUUCGAAUCGCAGCCAACUUGCCA